CAGCGGGACUGGCGACAGCGGGACUAGCGGGACAGGGACAGCGGGACGGGAUUUGGGAACAGCAGCGAUGCAGGGAAACCGCCCCAGGAGCGAGGGAACGGGCAGGGAGCGAGGCAGGAUGGACAGGAGAACAGCAGCUGCAGCCCGGGACGCAGCCGGCCUGGCAUCCCCUGGGCUCUGCGGCAGCGGACGGACCCGUUUGCACCCCCUUCACUGCUCCAUACCUCAGUCCGACACCCCAAAUAAAACACUAGUCACACUGCAAUAUUUUUUCUUAGAAAAAGCCUGGUCUGAACAGUUCCAGGCUAGAGGGGAAAAGUCUAGUGUAGAAGAGUUAAGCGGUAAUUAAGGCAAAGCAGAACAAGCGGAGCUCCCCGUGCUCCGUUGCGCUCAAGCGAGCAGGCAGAGCCAUGGGAAGGAUCCCCUCAUGGCUGGGCUUGGCUGCGGACUGGCACUGCCCACCCCCGCUUUAACGAGACAGAGCAGGAGUGUUUUGGACUGUCUUUGAAGCCCACAGCUGUGAGCUGCCAGAGGGGAGACCAGGAAUGGUUCUGGUUUCUGCACUAUGCCUCAGACCAGGCAUGAUGGGUCCAGCUCUUGCGGAGGAAGGAGCUCUGGCUGAGUCAGGCUCAGGUACUCACUGCCUCUGCCAGCAGUCCUUUCCUGCUGUAAAUGAUCCAUCCAACAUGGUUCUCUCCUACCUCAAUCAGCCACCAAAAAGAAAAGAAAUCCUCUCCAAGCAGUGACCAAAUGGUUCAUUUGUUCCUCCACAAGACAUACAACUACUCCUUAACUAUCAAAUCUAUUACACAGCAAAUGCCAAAACCAGGUUCAGAGAAACUUUGUGAGGGUGAACUCUGCUCUGUUCAAAUUCUUACUGUUUCUGCAUGAGUUUGUGGGCCAGAUAAAUUACUACUCCAUCCCUGAAUCCCUUCUGGAAAAAUGUUACAGCAGGGAUUACUGUAACAAGCAUAUAUCAAACCAGGAGUUCUGUGGAAAGGAAGUAUAUGUGGACAGA
Molecule: long non-coding RNA, 1018 nt
Organism: Corvus hawaiiensis (hawaiian crow)
Lineage: Eukaryota; Metazoa; Chordata; Aves; Passeriformes; Corvidae
Exons: 3
Source: RefSeq, a predicted model, not a curated record